AACGAACGCUGGCGGCAGGCCUAACACAUGCAAGUCGAACGAGUAAGAGCCGUAGCAAUACGGAGUUCUGCUAGUGGCGCACGGGUGAGUAACGCGUGGGAACGUGCCUUGGAGUUCGGGAUAACAGUUGGAAACGACUGCUAAUACCGAAUAUUCCCUCAGGGGGAAAGAUUUAUCGCUCCAAGAUCGGCCCGCGUAAGAUUAGGUAGUUGGUGGGGUAAUGGCCUACCAAGCCUACGAUCUUUAGCUGGUCUGAGAGGACGACCAGCCACACUGGAACUGAGACACGGUCCAGACUCCUACGGGAGGCAGCAGUGGGGAAUAUUGGACAAUGGGCGAAAGCCUGAUCCAGCCAUGCCGCGUGAAUGAUGAGCUAGGUGUAAAUC
RNAcentral lists this ribosomal RNA (386 nucleotides) under uncultured bacterium. Its description in RNAcentral is "bacterial SSU rRNA". It matches the Rfam family "Bacterial small subunit ribosomal RNA", at positions 29 to 433 of the family's 1533-position model. The record is from RNAcentral.